UUAAGUUAUUAAGGGCGCACGGUGGAUGCCUUGGCACUAGAAGCCGAUGAAGGACGUUACUAACGACGAUAUGCUUUGGGGAGCUGUAAGUAAGCGUUGAUCCAGAGAUUUCCGAAUGGGGAAACCCAGCAUGAGUUAUGUCAUGUUAUCGAUAUGUGAAUACAUAGCAUAUCAGAAGGCAGACCCGGAGAACUGAAACAUCUUAGUACCCGGAGGAAGAGAAAGAAAAAUCGAUUCCCUGAGUAGCGGCGAGCGAAACGGGAAGAGCCCAAACCAACAAGCUUGCUUGUUGGGGUUGUAGGACACUCUAUACGGAGUUACAAAAGUAUAUAUUAGACGAAUCAUCUGGAAAGUUGAAUCAAAGAAGGUAAUAAUCCUGUAGUCGAAAAUAUAUACUCUCUUGAGUGGAUCCUGAGUACGACGGAGCACGUGAAAUUCCGUCGGAAUCUGGGAGGACCAUCUCCUAAGGCUAAAUACUCUCUAGUGACCGAUAGUGAACCAGUACCGUGAGGGAAAGGUGAAAAGUACCCCGGAAGGGGAGUGAAAGAGAACUUGAAACCGUGUGCUUACAAGUAGUCAGAGCCCGUUAAUGGGUGAUGGCGUGCCUUUUGUAGAAUGAACCGGCGAGUUACGAUUUGAUGCGAGGUUAAGCAGCUAAUGUGGAGCCGUAGCGAAAGCGAGUCUGAAUAGGGCGUUUAGUAUUUGGUCGUAGACCCGAAACCAGGUGAUCUACCCUUGGUCAGGUUGAAGUUCAGGUAACACUGAAUGGAGGACCGAACCGACUUACGUUGAAAAGUGAGCGGAUGAACUGAGGGUAGCGGAGAAAUUCCAAUCGAACUUGGAGAUAGCUGGUUCUCUCCGAAAUAGCUUUAGGGCUAGCCUCAAGUGAUGAUUAUUGGAGGUAGAGCACUGUUUGGACGAGGGGCCCUUCUCGGGUUACCGAAUUCAGACAAACUCCGAAUGCCAAUCAAUUUAACUUGGGAGUCAGAACAUGGGUGAUAAGGUCCGUGUUCGAAAGGGAAACAGCCCAGACCACCAGCUAAGGUCCCAAAAUAUAUGUUAAGUGGAAAAGGAUGUGGCGUUGCCCAGACAACUAGGAUGUUGGCUUAGAAGCAGCCAUCAUUUAAAGAGUGCGUAAUAGCUCACUAGUCGAGUGACACUGCGCCGAAAAUGUACCGGGGCUAAACAUAUUACCGAAGCUGUGGAUUGUCCGUAGGACAAUGGUAGGAGAGCGUUCUAAGGGCGUCGAAGCAUGAUCGCAAGGACAUGUGGAGCGCUUAGAAGUGAGAAUGCCGGUGUGAGUAGCGAAAGACGGGUGAGAAUCCCGUCCACCGAUUGACUAAGGUUUCCAGAGGAAGGCUCGUCCGCUCUGGGUUAGUCGGGUCCUAAGCUGAGGCCGACAGGCGUAGGCGAUGGAUAACAGGUUGAUAUUCCUGUACCACCUAGUAUCGUUUUAAUCGAUGGGGGGACGCAGUAGGAUAGGCGAAGCGUGCUAUUGGAUUGCACGUCCAAGCAGUAAGACUGAGUGUUAGGCAAAUCCGGCACUCAUAAGGUCAAGCUGUGAUGGGGAGAGGAAAUUGUUUCCUCGAGUCGUUGAUUUCACACUGCCAAGAAAAGCCUCUAGAUAGAUAACAGGUGCCCGUACCGCAAACCGACACAGGUAGUCAAGAUGAGAAUUCUAAGGUGAGCGAGCGAACUCUCGUUAAGGAACUCGGCAAAAUGACCCCGUAACUUCGGGAGAAGGGGUGCUCUUUAGGGUUAACGCCCAGAAGAGCCGCAGUGAAUAGGCCCAAGCGACUGUUUAUCAAAAACACAGGUCUCUGCUAAACCGUAAGGUGAUGUAUAGGGGCUGACGCCUGCCCGGUGCUGGAAGGUUAAGAGGAGUAGUUAGCUUCUGCGAAGCUACGAAUCGAAGCCCCAGUAAACGGCGGCCGUAACUAUAACGGUCCUAAGGUAGCGAAAUUCCUUGUCGGGUAAGUUCCGACCCGCACGAAAGGCGUAACGAUUUGGGCACUGUCUCAACGAGAGACUCGGUGAAAUCAUAGUACCUGUGAAGAUGCAGGUUACCCGCGACAGGACGGAAAGACCCCGUGGAGCUUUACUGUAGCCUGAUAUUGAAAUUCGGCACAGCUUGUACAGGAUAGGUAGGAGCCUUUGAAACGUGAGCGCUAGCUUACGUGGAGGCAUUGGUGGGAUACUACCCUAGCUGUGUUGACUUUCUAACCCGCACCACUUAUCGUGGUGGGAGACAGUGUCAGGUGGGCAGUUUGACUGGGGCGGUCGCCUCCUAAAAGGUAACGGAGGCGCUCAAAGGUUCCCUCAGAAUGGUUGGAAAUCAUUCAUAGAGUGUAAAGGCAUAAGGGAGCUUGACUGCGAGACUUACAAGUCGAGCAGGGUCGAAAGACGGACUUAGUGAUCCGGUGGUUCCGCAUGGAAGGGCCAUCGCUCAACGGAUAAAAGCUACCCCGGGGAUAACAGGCUUAUCUCCCCCAAGAGUUCACAUCGACGGGGAGGUUUGGCACCUCGAUGUCGGCUCAUCGCAUCCUGGGGCUGUAGUCGGUCCCAAGGGUUGGGCUGUUCGCCCAUUAAAGCGGUACGCGAGCUGGGUUCAGAACGUCGUGAGACAGUUCGGUCCCUAUCCGUCGUGGGCGUAGGAAAUUUGAGAGGAGCUGUCCUUAGUACGAGAGGACCGGGAUGGACAUACCUCUGGUGUACCAGUUGUCGUGCCAACGGCAUAGCUGGGUAGCUAUGUAUGGACGGGAUAAGUGCUGAAAGCAUCUAAGCAUGAAGCCCCCCUCAAGAUGAGAUUUCCCAACUUCGGUUAUAAGAUCCCUCAAAGAUGAUGAGGUUAAUAGGUUCGAGGUGGAAGCGUGGUGACACGUGGAGCUGACGAAUACUAAUCGAUCGAAGACUUAAUC
This 2918-nucleotide ribosomal RNA is filed under the name Staphylococcus sp. M0911. RNAcentral's name for it is "bacterial LSU rRNA". It matches the Rfam family "Bacterial large subunit ribosomal RNA". The record is from RNAcentral. Lineage: Bacteria; Bacillati; Bacillota; Bacilli; Caryophanales; Staphylococcaceae.